This is a non-coding RNA of Podarcis lilfordi (Lilford's wall lizard), 76 nucleotides long. The record is from the annotation of a GenBank genome assembly. Lineage: Eukaryota; Metazoa; Chordata; Lepidosauria; Squamata; Lacertidae.
GGGAAACACCCAUAGCUCAGUGGUAGAGAACCUGCUUUGCAUGCAGAAGGUUCCAGUUCAAUCUGUGGUGGUAUCA